RNAcentral lists this ribosomal RNA (433 nucleotides) under uncultured bacterium. RNAcentral's name for it is "partial 16S ribosomal RNA". It matches the Rfam family "Bacterial small subunit ribosomal RNA", at positions 29 to 507 of the family's 1533-position model. The record is from RNAcentral.
AACGAACGCUGGCGGCAUGCCUAACACAUGCAAGUCGAACGAGACCUUCGGGUCUAGUAGCGCACGGGUGCGUAACGCGUGGGAACCUGCCCUUAGGUUCGGAAUAACUCCCCGAAAGGGGUGCUAAUACCGGAUAAUGUCUUCGGACCAAAGAUUUAUCGCCUUUGGAUGGGCCCGCGUUGGAUUAGCUAGUUGGUAGGGUAAAAGCCUACCAAGGCGACGAUCCAUAGCUGGUCUGAGAGGAUGAUCAGCCACACUGGGACUGAGACACGGCCCAGACUCCUACGGGAGGCAGCAGUGGGGAAUAUUGGACAAUGGGCGAAAGCCUGAUCCAGCAAUGCCGCGUGAGUGAUGAAGGCCUUAGGGUUGUAAAGCUCUUUUACCCGGGAUGAUAAUGACAGUACCGGGAGAAUAAGCUCCGGCUAACUCCGCG